This 1865-nucleotide long non-coding RNA is filed under the name Homo sapiens (human). Its description in RNAcentral is "HSALNT0131347". Lineage: Eukaryota; Metazoa; Chordata; Mammalia; Primates; Hominidae. The record is from RNAcentral.
UACAGCUGAGGGAGGCCGUGGGAGCCUCCCUGGACUCAUCUCUGCCUCUGUUUCUUUAUUGAUUGUUGCCCAGCAACUCUGAUCUUGUUGCUGUUCUGUUUGGGACCCAGACAAUGCAAGUGGUGGAGGGAUUUUCCUUGUCAGGUCUUUCAGGCUGAAGUGUGGGCACAUUUGAUUGUGGUGAGGGGAACGCACAGAUGUAUUACAAAAUCUUAGUUGAUAAAGCAGUGGAAGGGUUUGAGAGGAUUGACUCCAAUUUUGAAAGAAGUUCUACUGUGGGUAAAAUGCUAUCAGACAGCAUCAUGUGUUGCAGAGAAAUCUUUCAUGGAAGGAAGAGUCCACUGAUGUGGCAAACAUCAUUGUCUUAUUUUAAGAAAUUGCCACAGGCACCCCAACGAUGCUGACUUCUGUCCCAGAUGCAGUCACCUUCAUGGGGGCGGACUCCCUGCUUGUCUAGGCAAUCUCAAAUGGCAAUUUUUGAGUGAAUGGCCCCAGCCCACAGCUAACGGCAGCAGCUUGGGCCUCUGGCCAGGCUGGCUGUGUGACCCCGCCAGGCCCCGGCCCAGCUUUCUCACUGACGUGUCAAGAAGGGAGAGGGUGAGGGUGUGGGGACUUGGGGAGGGUUGGUGGCUGGGCCUAAUCCCACUCCUGUCCCCGGAUGACAGUGCCCUAGCAGCUCACGGCAGAGUUUCUGGGAGCCCUGGAAGAUGUCAGCGCUUGACCUUUGCUGGCUGCGGGGGCUCCUACUGCUGUUUGCGGAAGUCCCUAAGUCAGUGGCAGGAGGGUGAGUAAAAUGUCACCCCUGUGCAAUGCCACAGUGCUGAGGAUAGUGCUGAGGGCAGUGCUGAGGACAGUGUUGAGGCUGGUGCAAUGCCACAGUGCUGAAGCUGGUAGAAUGUCACAAGGUUGGGGAGAAUGUGGCAGAUUCCCCAAACACACGGACCAGAAGCAUGGUGGCCGCAGACCAUAGCACAGGUCCCUCCGAGGGACAGUGGGACUGCACCGGGUGAUAACAAGGGCUCCAUUCCCCUACAAAGAAGUAAUCAAAUGCUCUGCCUCCAUGUCGGCAAAGCAAGCACUUCCCACCCAUGUCCUCCGUGACCACCAGGAAGGUGAUGGCUCCGAACAGGGCCUCCACUCACGGGUUACCGAGGUACCUCCACCUGUGUCGUCAGUGACCACAAGGAGGGUGAUGGCUCCGAACAGGGCCUCCACUCACGGGUUACCGAGGUACCUCCACCUGUGUCGUCAGUGACCACAAGGAGGGUGAUGGCUCCGAACAGGGCCUCCACUCACGGGUUACCGAGGUACCUCCACCUGUGUCGUCAGUGACCACAAGGAGGGUGAUGGCUCCGAACAGGGCCUCCACUCAUGGGUUACCGAGGCACCUGCUGUCCUUUCCAGGGUUCUGGGACAAAACAGCACAUGGACACUUGGAUUUAAAUUCCAGCAACACCAUGAUUUCAGGGGCUGUUAUUUCAGCUCCUGAGCCUGUGUUUCCUUGUCUGCAGAGUGGGGUGCACAUGGCCAACCUCACAGAGCUGUGGGCUCCAUCAAGGUGGCUGUCGCUGUUUCCCUCUCAGUGCUCAGCGGCCCCCAGGCCACCCCUGCAAAAUUGCUGCUUCCUCCCAAGAGGUUUGAGCUUGGAUCAAAUUCAGAACUCCCUGGAAAGGGUGGCAUCAAGAGGCCCCCUUUCCAGGCAUUUGCAUUGAUUAAACUCUCGUGUGACCUGUCCAUGACUCUAGGGAGAGGAGCAACGGGGGUGAUGACCGUGACAAGCUAGAGACCCUCUUGGACAGAUGGUCGUUAUUCCACUUGCUCCAGGCACCACCCUGUGAGUCACGGCAGGUGUUGGCAUCCCAUUU